Molecule: long non-coding RNA, 1165 nt
Organism: Phyllostomus hastatus (greater spear-nosed bat)
Lineage: Eukaryota; Metazoa; Chordata; Mammalia; Chiroptera; Phyllostomidae
Exons: 3
Source: RefSeq, a predicted model, not a curated record
UCACCGGGGCCACCCACUCGAGGUGGCCCGCGGACGGCGCCAGGUGGGGAAACCGGGCGGUCCCAGCCGGCUGGGAGACGGCGUCGCCCCCUGCGCGGUCCCCGGGCCCCGGCGCUAGGCCGGGCAGGGACUCGGGGCUGCCUGACCCAGGCCCCCGGACCCGCUCCGAGGGGGCCGCCGCGAGGGGCACGAAGGCGCUCCGUGGUCCCUGUUCCCGAGCAGCGUGGGCGAGUCGGGGCCCCAGAUGGGGUCUGUGAACCCGGCCAGGAUGGCCUCGCGCGCCCCCGGACCCGCGGUUGAAGGAAAUACUAGAAUUGCAAUGUUACAGAACAGACAAAUGAGUCCCAGCUGCCCAGGCCUGCUCUUCCGACUAACCCCUCGAAGCUCAGAGGCCCGUGGGCAGGCAGGAUAAUACCAAUGCUAUCACCAGUGGGGGCCGAUGGGACCAGAAACCAACGUGAAACUGGCUUUGGUUUGUGGCCACGGCAGCAACCAUGUUCAGGAAGCCUGGCGUUUGUUUGCCUUUCUGCCUCUCGGAAUCGUGGUUUGCUCGGCUCCUUUGUUCCAGAAGAGCUGUUCUCUUCCCAGCCACUUCGCACUGGGCUGGUCGGCAGCGGUGGACUCCCAGUGUCCGGUCACGUUAUUCCUCACUGUUUUGUUUCACCGAUGCCAUUCCUCUGGCCCUUUGGCUUUGCCUUGGCCCAGUUCAAUCUCCCUGCAACAGUUCUGAGAACAGCCUAUUGUUACCUGUUCUCAGCAAGGAGCCUAGAGUGUGGGGACCUCCUGGCCAGGUUUACUCUUAUACUCACCACCUCACCUUGCAUGUAGUAGGUACUUAAUUAAUGCUGGUAGAGUGAGCCCAUGAAUGAGAUAUGGUGAGCACUGUCCAGCUCUGGCCACAUCCCAGCACUUUCUGGUUGUCUCGCCCCGUCAUGGCUGAGCUGGCUCUGGUGUGAUGAAGUGACAAAGACACAGGUGCGACUUGUCUGGUAAGAGGAGCAUCAAGACGUGGAUGAAUAUUCUGGUCUUCUGGUCACUGCUCUGGAGAUGUUGAACUUGGUCAGGAACUCCCGAAGUGAGAAUUCUUUUAAAAAAUUUUUUUUAAGAUUUUAUUUAUUUUUUAGAGAAAGGGGAAGGGAAGGAGAGAGAGAGGGAGAGGAACAUC